UAAGUCCCGCAACGAGCGCAACCCUUGUCCUUAGUUGCCAGCCUUAAGUUGGGCACUCUAAGGAGACUGCCGGUGACAAACCGGAGGAAGGUGGGGACGACGUCAAGUCAUCAUGGCCCUUACGAGUAGGGCUACACACGUGCUACAAUGGCGUAUACAGAGGGCAGCGAACUCGCGAGGGUAAGCAAAUCCCAAAAAGUACGUCGUAGUCCGGAUUGGAGUCUGCAACUCGACUCCAUGAAGUCGGAAUCGCUAGUAAUCGUGGAUCAGAAUGCCACGGUGAAUACGUUCCCGGGCCUU
Molecule: ribosomal RNA, 300 nt
Filed under: uncultured bacterium
Lineage: Bacteria
Description: bacterial SSU rRNA
Rfam family: Bacterial small subunit ribosomal RNA
Source: RNAcentral